UGGGGGAUAUUGCACAAUGGGGGGGAACCCUGAUGCAGCGACGCCGCGUGAGCGAUGAAGUAUUUCGGUAUGUAAAGCUCUAUCAGCAGGGAAGAAAAUGACGGUACCUGACUAAGAAGCCCCGGCUAACUACGUGCC
Molecule: ribosomal RNA, 138 nt
Filed under: uncultured bacterium
Lineage: Bacteria
Description: partial 16S ribosomal RNA
Rfam family: Bacterial small subunit ribosomal RNA
Source: RNAcentral